Molecule: long non-coding RNA, 1668 nt
Organism: Macaca mulatta (Rhesus monkey)
Lineage: Eukaryota; Metazoa; Chordata; Mammalia; Primates; Cercopithecidae
Source: Ensembl
ACACUGAAGGAAGGACACUGACACUUGGAGACCAUUCACUUCUGCUGGGAGGAGUAGUUGAGCUCUUACUGCAUUCUGCCUGUCUGAAGUUCAGGGACCAUAUCUUUGCCAGGCUGGGGCAUGUGUGCAUGAGUGUAUACAUUGAGCGACUUGAGUUUUGCCCUCCCUGAAUGUGACAGUGCCACUGAGGGAACUGAACAACUAUAAAGCCCUAGAUGGAUUAAUGGAGGUCGUUCAGACUUCACCAGAAAUAGACUGCAUCCUCUGGGCAAUUGUGUCCUGGCCAGUGAAUAGCACAGGCUGCUGGAGCUGAGUUGGACCCCCUUCUGAUCCUGGAGGGAGCCCCACUCCACCUUCCUAUGAAGUCAGUUUCCUUCCUCUCAGGGUAGCUGCUGGCUCCGAUAACCUGCGUGUGCCUCCCUGGAACUUGCUGUAAGCUGGAUAUCAGUUUCACAUGUUUGGUCUGCGGGACGUAAGAAGGAAGUGGACCUCCUGGAUAUCGGCACAUCAGAAUCACUAUGGAGUGAUUCCUGAAUAUGUCUGGGCCUGCGCCAGGAGCCGUGUGACAAUCCUGCCUGGUCAGCCACAAAGUUACAAUGCUUCCUUCCUGGGUAACCUGCCGCCAGGAGCACAUGGCACAGUAAGGCUUGGAAGAAGGUGAAGCAAGGAAAUCACCAGGCGUUCUUCACUGUUUACCUCUCACUCAAUGUUAUGACAAUUUUGGCGUGCUGGCUACUUCGUAUUUCUGUUUAUGAAAAGAGGAAGUCUGAUUCUGCCAAACAGGAAGAGUCCUAAUUGUGUUAUUGGUGGAGGGUCUUGACUGCAGCAUGUCCCGGUUCUUGGCGUUCUGAACAAAGAACUGGACGAAAGAAACAAAGCAACCAAAGAACGAAGCAACAAGAGCACAGACUUGUGGAAACGAAAGUAUACCCCACAGAGUGGGAGUACGCGCACCAGCAGCUCCAGAGUGCUGGUUACAGAAUGUUCUGGGGUUUACAUACCCUUUAGAGGUUUCCCAGUAGUUAGUUGGUUUACAGCCUAUGUAAAUGAAGGAGUGGCGCACAACCAGUCUAAUGGGUUGUGGAAGGUGACCAGUCAGAGACUGAAGUGAAGUUAUGAAGUAAUACCCUAUGCAGAUGUCUGAUUGGUUGCAGGAGGGGGACCAAGCAGAGGUACUGGCCAUUUCUCAUCUGCGAUGCAGAAAGCGGUGGGGCUUGCAAAGGGAGCAGCCUCUGUUCUUUUGUUACUUAAGCGUGGAAAGUUGGAGUUUUCAUUUUGAUUCAUUUCUAGGAAGUCAGCACAAAUUGGCCUUAGGUUUCCUGCCUCCAGACCCUAUUCUCCAGCCUCAAUUGCAUCUCAUCAAUGUCAUUUUCAUUUUUGAUGAUGAAAGCUGGUUAACUUGUGGAGAGAGAAGUCAUAGGGAGGUCAUGUCCAUGGAGCAUGGGCUUAAAUGGACCUAUUUAUUGAAGUCUCCAGAUCUGUUUGGAACUUCGAAAUUAUUCAAGAAAAGGUGUCUCAUCAGCAGAAGACUGAGCAAUUUUACCUCAUGGUAUCUUGAGUAGAAAUGUAACCUAGAAGAGUUUGUUGAAAAUCCUCCUGGCUGAUGGUCAUUUCUUGGAAUCCUGAGUCUUACACUUGCUACCUAAUAAAGAAGGCAGAUUCUUCUCA